Molecule: ribosomal RNA, 847 nt
Filed under: uncultured bacterium
Lineage: Bacteria
Description: bacterial SSU rRNA
Rfam family: Bacterial small subunit ribosomal RNA
Source: RNAcentral
GCUCAGGGUGAACGCUGGCGGCGUGCCUAACACAUGCAAGUCGAGCGGUGCAGCUGGAGACUUCGGUUGAAGGCUGCAUAGCGGCGGACGGGUGCGUAACACGUAGGAACGUGCCCCCUGGAGGCGGAUAGCUACGGGAAACUGUAGGUAAUCCGCCAUAGACUCGGGAGAGUAAAGGCCAUAAGGUGCCAGGGGAGCGGCCUGCGGCCCAUCAGGUAGUUGGUAGGGUAAAAGCCUACCAAGCCGACGACGGGUAGCCGAUCUGAGAGGAUGGUCGGCCACAAGGGCACUGAGACACGGGCCCUACUCCUACGGGAGGCAGCAGUGGGGGAUAUUGGACAAUGGGCGAAAGCCUGAUCCAGCGACGCCGCGUGGAGGACGAAGCCCUUCGGGGUGUAAACUCCUUUUGCUAGGGAAAAAGGAUGAUGGUACCUAGCGAAUAAGCCCCGGCUAACUACGUGCCAGCAGCCGCGGUAAUACGUAGGGGGCGAGCGUUACCCGGAAUCACUGGGCGUAAAGGGUGCGUAGGUGGCCCUGUGUGUCUGGCGCUAAAUACCACGGCUCAACUGUGGGAUUGCGCUGGAAACUGCAGGGCUUGGGUGCGGCAGAGGCAGAUGGAACUGCUGGUGUAGGGGUGAAAUCCGUAGAUAUCAGCAGAAACGCCGGUGGAGAAGUCGGUCUGCUGGGCCGUAACCGACGCUGAGGCACGAAAGCUAGGGGAGCGAACCGGAUUAGAUACCCGGGUAGUCCUAGCCGUAAACGAUGCUCACUAGGCGUGGGGUCGGAAGGCUCCGUGCUGAAGCUAACGCGAUAAGUGAGCCGCCUGGGGAGUAUGCCCGCAAGGGUG